CGAUAGUUAAUCUCAAUCGAGUGCAUUUUCGUGCACAUUCGUAUCUGCGCAGUAUAAUCAUGCAUUGCGCAAUCAUGAAAUGUUUUAAUUUCUGUAUGUCAUAGUGUUUGGUUGAUAUAAAGUUGUUGGAACUCAUGUUCUACUAAUCAUUUUGUUAUUACCUUCUGUCAUGGAUUACAUAUUCAAAUUAAGGAAUAUAUACAAACUUACUGGAAAUAAUUAGCACGACUGUGAGGGUUAUAAAAUCAGAGUUUCUGUGGUACCUAAGGCCGCUGAAGACUUGAACUCGAGCGAUACAUUACCUAUAAAAGAUUUCGACAACAAUCUACUCCAGUGCCAUCACACGGUUAUGCUGUGAAAUAUGACGGACAGAUGGCAUACGUCCCGUUCUUCCUAAAACGGCCAAAUGAUUUGUGAUUUGUUGUCAUUCUGGUAAAGGGAAACAAUUCAUUACUCUUAUGUACGGAAUUAUGCGUUAACAACUUGAGCAGACAUCAUUCUGUCAAAAAGUGUUUUCAACGUGACUUCUCCAUGCCUAUCACUUAGAGAUAGUGAUGGAUGCUUUUGUGCACAUAUGGUUCCAUUUAACUGGAGGAGCCACGAUAUAAAGGUUACGUCAAGGACAAAGAAUGCAGCAUAUGAAAGUAAAUCUAUUUACCUAUAAAAAUUGUAUCCGAAUUCCUGGCCGGAUAAAGACUUGUAUUAAAACGAUACCACUUACUGAGGAACAGCACUGAAUUGAUAUACCAGACUUUCCUGUUGGCAUCACGCUAUUUGCGGAUUCCUACCCAGAAAAUAGACAACAACCUAUGGAUUGUCUUUCUCACAUUAUCAAAUGAGCAAAAAACAUUAGACGUAGACGCACUAGGUUUGCAUUAGCCAAUUAACUGUUCGAAAAUGAACUUGUCAGUUGCGUUUUGCAAACUGUCUCUUGAAAAAAACUAAAUGCAAGCAGACAAGUAAUGGCAAUUUGUGUCCUUUCAGCAUUCUUUUAUUUCAUUGCAUCCGAAGUGAAAUAUCGAAAAUGCACGUGAAUUAAGGUAGAGCUAAUUAAAAUAACAUUAGUGGCUUGGAAAAUGUACAGAAACUUGAUUUUAUGAAAUGUUCAAUCUACACAUCGGUGAGAAAAACAGACCGCCAAACGCCUGUUGGAAGAAAGAAGGAAAUGUAGGAAAUCUACAUUAAACAAAAUGGGGAGAACAUGUCUUUUGCAGAGGACUUACAAAGUUACACAAGCAUAUGGACAUCGUUCUCAAAUUUUAAAGCAUUAUCUGACUGCUCGAAUAGUUUAAUUUCUGUCCAAACGAUAGCGACGUAAACGGGGAAAAUUCAAUAAAAGUGUCCCUUUCUCGUCCGUAUCCUGUUCAGUGAAGUAUUUACGUACUUAUGCAAGUUGUCUGAGUUAUUUGCCCUGACAGAAUAUUAUAAGUAUAUUUUUGUGAUGUAUACGUGCAUCUUUACACCACUGUAGGGUUUUGGUUUGAUUGGCUGCGUUCUUUGGACAUGACAGCUUAUACUGGACAUUUCGACUUGUUUUACAAACAUAAAUAGAAAUAUACAUGCCUGUAUAUGUGAAAUAAAAGAAUGUAUGCAAGCUAAUUAUCUGUGAAUAUUAUCAAAGUAGUUAAGACCAUAUAAAUUGUAGACUCCUAGACACAAACUUAGAAAUAUGACAAACUUUUUAAGGAUGCCGGUUUGUUUGAAUAGCUGAACUAUUUUUAAGAGAGUAUAAUAAAGUAUCCAUGCUUGAUGCUUGUAUAUCAUUAUAUUUUCUUUGAAACUGAAGUUGGUUAAGAACGUGAAAGUUAUAUAAAGUAAAGGAAUACAUAUUGGGAGGCGAAUUGUUUGCGAAAUCUGUGCUCGAAUGUGGGCCAGAAUAUUUAUUUACUUUCUGCUUCUUGUGACUUUCUAAUGACCGUGCACUUACGUUCUUAAGAAUGAAUUUAUAAUACCCUAGCUUUAGCAAUAGUUUUGUCUACAUAUACCAUGUGUUCGCAGAUUUUAUUAAUUUUAUCAUUAGAUGCAUGAGAAUCCUGAGCCAACUCGUGUACUUUUUUCACCAAACCAGAACAAUAAAGGUUCGCAUUACUAGCAGUUAUUAAGACGGAUUGUCAAAGGUACGAUCAACGAUAGAAAAUAAAACAUGAUUUUGUUUUUCAAAUUAACGUCUAAUCAUCUGCGAAUAAUUCCACCCGUUAAUUUGUUAUAAAAAGGUGCAAUUAUCGCAUGCCAACCACCAAUGAGCUGUACACGAAUAAAAUGCAGACAUUAUUUUCUUAAAUAAAAAUCAAAAGUUGUUUACCUAAAACAUGAAUAAAAUUCAGGGUAGAUGUCAUUUCGGAGCCUAAGGCAUUUUGAAAGAAUAGAACAUCUGAUGUUUUAUUUCAGUAAUUUAAGCUAAUAAAUUUUAACAAGCCAUCAUGUGUUUGUGUGAUUCAUAGAAAUGGACGUGUUUUAAGAAAUGCACAGUGUCUUACUUAAUGUAAGAAGUUCUUGGAAAAGAUUUAAUGUGUCACACAUUUAAAAUUACGUUUAAUUGUUUGAAUUUUGCAAAAAUACACUUGUAAAAUCUUUAAAAUUUUGUUGCGUUGAAUUUGUAGUGAACGUUUGGUGUAAAAUAAAUGAAAGAAUAUUUCUAACAUAUCCAUAAAAUGUUAGUAUGUAAAAGACAUUGCUAUGCACGGUAUUGUGAAUAAAACUCCAGAUUUGUUCCGUUUUCUACCAUUUGAGCUAUAACGAUUCUAUUGCUAGAAUACAAUGCUUCAUCACCACGGAAAAGUUUGAGAAAUAGAUACAACGAAAGCUUCUUCCGCCGGACAACAUAUUUCCUGGUGAUGUCACGACCCGGAAGCGAUAUACCCGUGGUUUUCUUAUCUCGCCUGGAUGUAAAUUCCCAGAGCUGCGGGUCUACGUCCAGUGGUUGUGACUUAACCGUCAAGAUGUUAAUCUUUCUAAACGACUGAGAUCGCUCAGGGAUACAAAAACCGGAUACGGGGAACCAGAAUGGGGUCAACUUCUUCGCGAUUUGAUGGGACAUUAUUUUAUAUAGUGUUAAAUCCUUAACAUGCUAGUUAAUUGGAUCUUAAAUAUUUGUGGAACGUCACUAUGAAACUGGAUUAGAGAUCUCGGACUCAAACAUCUUUUAUUACAAACCAUUAGACAUUGAGCUCAACAUUUUCUCUUUUUUUUUCUUUUCAUAAAAAUAAUUGUAAAUAUUUAUUUUUGUAAAUAAACUUGUUAAUAUUGUAAUGAGUGUUAAAUUGUUCGUAUAAGUUCUGUCCAUGGUUCGACCAUCCUGUCACACAACUCCUUCUACACUAUAAGCCUGCUUUGCUUUAAACUUUCACAGAUAAACAACCUUGAUAUGCAAAUUACCACACAGAAAGGAUUUUUUCUUUGACGAUUUUUUACUGCAGUUAUGGCCCUUUUAUAGUUCUGCUAUAUAGAAUAUAGAGAAGAAUCUUGUGUAUCCAACUUUUCAAACAAUAUUGAAAGGAUAUGCUUAAAAUUGUCACAGAUGAAGGACCUUCAUGUGAAGAUGACCAUAAAUAAUGGACUUUUUCUGUUUCUAUGUUUUCUAGAAUUAUGGCCCUUUCUUAAUUAGAACUUUGCUGUUUAGAGGUUGGAGCUGUACGCGCGGGAAUCCGUGUGCUAUGGACACAAUUCUCGUUUUAUACUGCAUUGUAAAUCUUCACUCUGGUUAUAACUAUCUUUCACGAUAAACCUGUGUAUUUUGAAAGUAAAAAAAAAAACCUUGAUAUACACAAUAAUGAAUUACUUGAACAUACUUUUGUUAUCCAUAUCAAUAAAUGUGUAUUUGUGUAGACCAGUUUAGAAACUGACACAGGCCUAUAGAAGUCCUACUUUUCGGAGGAAAAUGUGUGACAUGGAAGGUUUGUGACGAUAAUUCAACUUUAACGAGCUGUUUAUGUAGUGGAAGUCUGCAGUGCUGCAUGUAUGCAGGCGGACACUGCCUAUAAUACCCACUGCCAAAAGGUGUGUGGUUACAGACUUUUUUGUGAGGUUUUGAAAGUUAGGUAGGCGACUCUAGGCCGAGAAGCUCAGAAAACUGUUUACUGCCUCCUGAGUUCAGAGAGAGAGAAAAUAUAGCUGCUCUGGUCCCAAUCAGUUAAAACGACCAAUAUGUCACGGGUGAUUUGAGAGACAUGAUAAAAACCCCAGAGAUUUGAGUAUAUAUGCAAAUGUUGAACCAUUACGAAUGUGUACGGUCUAGACUCUAUAAUAUAGACCGUAAUAAAACUUAAAUAUUGACACUGUACGCAUGUGUAGUACGAUUCAGAUGUGUACAUAAAGCAGCAUCGAAGGUCAGUGGACUUGCUGUGGAACGUGCAGGCUCGUUUGUACUGAUAGGCGCUUUCCCGUAAAUGAUCUGGUAUAUAUUAUUGUGGUAAUUAAUUAGUUCAUACUAAUUGUCUAACGAGUAAUGUGUACCAUUAUAUUUCGGAUAUUAUUGCAAAUAUUUUAUAAUGAGUUAGGGAAAUAAGUAUCUUAAACAAUAUUUAAAAAUACUGUUAUAAACAAUGUAACAAUGAUUUUCGUUUGUUAAUGUAAGAACCAUAGUUUCCAGAUUUACGUCAUGUAUUUUGUCUACUUGGAGCGGGGUGUUUAUAACCAGCUGGAAUGACCGCUGCAUUCAUGUUUUAAUGUAGGACACAGUUCUAGAGACAUACAUUUAAACAUAUCGUACUACCAACCGCGAUAUUGAACAAAAUAUUGGGAUAAAAUUUUUGUAGGGACUUUAAGACAGACGGUAUUAAAAAUUUUGUAACGCGAUCUGGAAAAUGGCUAUCAAUUUUAUGACAUUUUAUAAAUAUCUGUAUUUCUUAUUGUUCUCAACGUCAGCAUUUUAGUUGUUGAUAUACAUACAUCGAUGUCUGAAUAGACUGUCCAAUUUAAAUAAUAUAUUUUACAGUUACAUUGCAGGCCCGGUUCUCCAGGGCCAGGCCGA
Molecule: RNA transcript, 4969 nt
Organism: Mercenaria mercenaria
Lineage: Eukaryota; Metazoa; Mollusca; Bivalvia; Venerida; Veneridae
Exons: 7
Source: RefSeq, a predicted model, not a curated record